CCUACGGGAGGCAGCAGUGAGGAAUAUUGGUCAAUGGACGAGAGGCUGAACCAGCCAAGUAGCGUGAAGGAUGACUGCCCUAUGGGUUGUAGACUUCUUUUAUAAAGGAAUAAAACGAGGCACGUGUGCCUUUUUGCAUGUACUUUAUGAAUAAGGAUCGGCUAACUCCGUGCCAGCAGCCGCGGUAAUACGGAGGAUCCGAGCGUUAUCCGGAUUUAUUGGGUUUAAAGGGAGCGUAGAUGGGUUGUUAAGUCAGUUGUGAAAGUUUGCGGCUCAACCGUAAAAUUGCAAUUGAUACUGGCAGUCUUGAGUACAGUUGAGGUAGGCGGAAUGCGUGGUGUAGCGGUGAAAUGCUUAGAUAUCGCGAAGAACCCCGAUUGCGAAGGCAGCUUACUAAACUGUGACUGACAUUGAUGCUCGAAAGUGCGGGUAUCAAACAGGAUUAGAUACCCGGGUAGUC
RNAcentral lists this ribosomal RNA (460 nucleotides) under uncultured bacterium. RNAcentral describes it as "partial 16S ribosomal RNA". It matches the Rfam family "Bacterial small subunit ribosomal RNA", at positions 338 to 795 of the family's 1533-position model. The record is from RNAcentral.